AUGAGGGCUGAUAGCAGUGAAUGCAGGUGUGGAAACUUUCUGGGCCGUUCUGAUCCAUUGAGAUCCCUCCAGAAGCCCGGAGGAGGGCUCAGCCUCGUCUGCAAGGCCUCCGGGUUCACCUUCAGUGGUUACCUCAUGUUCUGGGUGCGCCAGGCGCCCAGCAAGGGGCUGGAAUACGUCACAGUUAUUAGCCCUGAUGGUAGUACCCCAAAAUACGGGGCGGCGGUGAAGGGCCGUGCCACCAUCUCGAGGGACGACGGGCAGAGCACAGUGAGGCUGCAGCUGAACAACCUCAGGGCUGAGGACACCGCCAUCUACUACUGCACCAAAAAUGCUGAUGCUGGUACUCCUGAUGCUGGUGAGAUCGACAGCAUCCCACAUUUUCCUGCUCCCACCCACCCCCACAUGUGCCGCACCUCGCCCACCACUGACAGAACCCAUCCCAGAAUGUGCUGA
Non-coding RNA from Gallus gallus (chicken), 456 nucleotides. The record is from the annotation of a RefSeq genome assembly. NCBI's taxonomy places the organism in Eukaryota, Metazoa, Chordata, Aves, Galliformes, Phasianidae.